RNAcentral lists this long non-coding RNA (290 nucleotides) under Glycine max (soybean). RNAcentral's name for it is "long non-coding RNA (GMAX_LNC002687)". Lineage: Eukaryota; Viridiplantae; Streptophyta; Magnoliopsida; Fabales; Fabaceae. The record is from RNAcentral.
AAAAAUUCACUCUUUUUCCACUCAUAACACCACAUUCUCACUUUCUAACCCUAGGCUAAUUCUACCCUUCAUCUCUAACAGUUUUCCAUAAGCAAUUUCAGCACAUGAACAUCACAAGCAUCAUCAUAAAAACCCUAAAACAGAAUGGGUAUGUUUAACUCUUCCAAACAUGGCAAUUUCAACACGCUUUCAACAAGUUUCUUCACAAGUAACUAUCAUGAAGUAGAAAACUAGCAAAACUACCCAUCAUAUCUCCCAAAACCCCAUACCCACGAAAAUCAAGAGAGAAA